Molecule: long non-coding RNA, 4000 nt
Filed under: Equus caballus (horse)
Lineage: Eukaryota; Metazoa; Chordata; Mammalia; Perissodactyla; Equidae
Description: lncRNA (ENSECAG00000043647.2)
Source: RNAcentral
CCGAGGCUGACUGCGUGCACUGUGACACCUGAGGCUGACUGCGUGCACUGUGACACCGAGGCUGACUGCGUGCACUGUGACACCGAGGCUGACUGCGUGCACUGUGACUCCCAGGUGUCCUUCCCUCUACUUGCCCUUGGGUUUGUCUGAUGACGGCACCAGCAGACAAUAAGUGGCUGAUCCGGGGUCAGAUGUGCAUUGAAGUCGUCAGCGUGUGGUACUGACGGAAGCUGUGGGUGUGACUGAGGCCUCUCAGGAGGGACUGGGCAGUGAGGGGACAAUAGGCACUGAACACUGGGGAGAGCAGUGUGGCUCCUCCCAGAUCGUCCCCAGGCCUGAGGCUGCAGGGCCUCCAGGCAUGUGACCCGUGCAGGCUCUGCCCAGAGAUGUGACAUGCUCAUACCCAUGCAGGGCACAGCGGCUCCUGGAGUUGAAGGCGCUGUGGACACCUGAGUGAGACCGGUUAGAAAUGCCUGCCCUGCCUGGAUCAUGCCACCACAUCAAGUGUGACCCUGAACCUGAUCAUCUCCGUUCUCCCUGGGGUGUUGUCCCCUGGGUCCUUGUCACCAGCAGCAUCAGCCUUGCCGGGGCUCAUUGGAAUACAGAACCUCAGGCUGGCCCCUGGACCUACUGGAUCAGAACCUGCAUUCUGAAAAGGUCCUGGUGAGUCACAGGCAGAGGAAAGCCUCAGGAGCACUCCCUGCGUGCAUCACAGAAGCCCCGCUCACCCUGAGGCCUCGGUGUGGGCUGUGGUGCCCACAGCUCCAGCUCUCUAGGAACCAAUUAGAACUCCUGGUCAAAGAUGUGGAAGGAACGGACUCUUCCUCCAGAAUCCCCGUGAGAGAGACAAGGAAUGGGCAUUAAACCAAGCUAAGGGGAGGGGGCCGUAACGAGGCUCUGGGAGCUCCUGGGAAACGGUGACCAGUGACCAGCUCAGUGAGGCUAGGACCCUCGCUGGCGAGAUGGGAGGAGUUUUCCUCUUGAAGAAUCUGGCCAGGCUGUGAAAGAAGCCCAAUGGACAUGGACAUGAGGGGUUUCCCAAGAGAAUGCCCUAACAAGGGUGCAUCACAGAGGGCACAUGGGACCUGAGCACGGAGCUUCCAACAAGCUUUUCCUUCCUGCGAUUUGAAGUCAGCACCCCCAGACAGAGGAAAAUACGGAACGUGACAGUAGCAGACAUGGUCCUAUGAAGAGAGAAGAAAAUGUCAAAAUCACAACUGUGAGCGUCCUCAAGGGGUGAAAGAGGACACUCCAGCAGAUAACAAGGAUAGGAUGCUAUUAAAAAGAGCAUGAAAAUGUGAUUAAAAACACAGAAGUCAUAAAAACUGUGGACUCGGAAGUAAGCAAAUGUCCCCGAACAGAGAGCAGGAGAGGUGUGGUGUCCUCGAUGCCCACAGCUCGGUUGUCCUCCGGGCUCUGCCUUCGCCACCAUCUGCCAUGUUGGUCUUCUCUGUCCCUGAUGGACCUCUGGCUCUGUGGGCCCCUUCUGCUCAGAUCACAGUGUGCAGUGCCCUCCAGGCGGUACCUCCCCCUCACCCUGGGGCCUCCUGUUCCCUGAACUCUUCCCUCCCACGUUAGAACCACUGUGUCCUUGGUGACAGCCCGGGGCUCUCAGAUGUUUGGAUCUAAGGGAAAAACUACUCCCUGGACCCUCCACAGGAAGGCUCCUCUUGGAUAACAAAGAGAAGCUGCCGUGGCCGCGCCCAGUGCCAGGCUGGGGUCCAGGGCCUUUGGUCUGGGGAGUGCGGGGUCCACGGCUGGCCUCUCUGAGUCUCCUGGGAGAGACUGCCCGGUGGAAUCUUGUGGCCAGUGUUGUUGGCCGGGCCUGCAUGCUAAGCUGCCCAGCACCGGGGUGGGAAUGUGGCUGCUGUGUGAUUUCUGCAGAGCAAAGAAGUACAGAAACAGCCUCCGUGAAUAAUUUAGUCAAAUCAGCAGACCUACUGACUGUCAAGGUUUUACUGAAAAUGUCCUUGUGCCGGCAGCAUCGCCCUGGUAGGCCAGUGAAUGGAGCCAGUACACACCUCUCUUUCCCUGCCUGCUGUUGACGAUCUCCUCCGCCCCCAGAGCCUGGAGGCCCGUUUCCUCCUCAUCUUGCCCAUCGGAGAAGAUCCACUCUGCUGCUCCAGGCAGACUUCUGGGCGUCCCUGGGACUCUGUCCAGCUGUGCAUCCUUCCUCUCCUGGCCAGAACGCAGGUCCCUCAGGAUGGCCCUGGCCCUGUGUCCACUGCCGUUCCUCCACGUCUGCCAUGCUGCUUGGCACACGGUAGGCGCUCGGGAGAGGCUGUCUGAGACCACAAGCAGAGAGGGAGAUCCGUGUUCAGAGAGGCUGUUUGUCACCAGUGGGGGUCGGCGUGGUCAGGACGGGCCGGCAGAGGACCUGCAGGACUGGACAGAGCGGACGGGUGUGGACAGCUCUCCUCCCCUCUGCUCAGGGUGCAUCGUAGUGCAGGCCGGCGUCCCGGGUGUGCUGCUCUCGCCUGUGGCCGGAGGGGGUGGGUUUGUGGGCCUGGAGGAGCUGGCGGGAGGCCCCAGUCUGGGUGGGACGAGCCCGGCAGGGCAAGACCAGAGUGGGUGGAGUUGGGGACUGGAGGGCUCCCUGCAUCCAGCCCUCUGCGUGCUCUCUGCCGGCAUCGGGGUGCACAAGCCCACCAGCUCCCCAGACACACAGGAGCACGCGUGUACACACUCAGACACACACACAGACACACAGGAGCACGCAUAUACACACACAGGCACACAUACAGACACACAGGAGCACAUGCACACAACCAUACACACAGGAGCACAUGUGUGCAUGUACGCACACACACUACAAAGACACAGGGGCACAUGCAUACACAUACACACACAUUCAGCAGCACAUUUGUCCACAUGUGCAUGGGAGCAUGCGUGCACACACAGGAGCACAUGUGCAUGCACACACAGGAGCUUGUGUGUACACACACAGGAGCACAGGUAUGUGCACACACGCGGGAGAACACACACACACAGUGCUGGAACACCAUCACCAGUGUGCUGUCUGCUCCCCCCCGUUGGAAGGCGCUGCCCGAGUUGUCCCACACCUCCCCCAUCAGCACACUUCGAGAAGCGGGUCCUGACCAGCUCCAGUCCAUUGCGGGAAGCAGCCCUCAGACACGGGGACAGCUGCGGGCUCAUGGUCCUGAGAACCUGGCUCUCCUGCCACUGGGAGGGCUCACGGAGGACGCCUGGAACCCCCUCCGUCACCUCUUCAGACAGUCAGGAGCCUGCUUUCCCCAAAACUGGAAGGUUGGAGCCAUAGGAAAUGUCCCCAUCAUAUCAGAAAACUGAGGACUCUGCAGAAUGUUCUGGAACCUUCAGUGAGUGGGAGCUGCUGAUGCUGGUGACGGAGACUGGACAGGCUGUGAGGGGAGCAUGGGGACCUAGAGAAGCUUUGGGGACACAUCGGCACAUUUACAAUUUGUGCCUAAAUUUGCUCCUCCUUGGAGACCUGGCCAGGCUCAGAGCGAUCAACAGACAGGACGCCUGUCGCCAGUCAGUCAAUCGCUUGAUCGCUGGAUGAGUCAGUGGAUCAAUGCGCCGACUGCCCUCUGAACCGAGGGUGUGUUUCCUGGGAUGGGAAGAUGGUGAGGAGGCCCGACGCGCCCUGUGCGCUCAGCGCCCUGCUCCCCCAGCCAGCGGCGGCCUGCUCCAGCCUCUGGCCCUGCACACACAGGGGCAUUAAAGGAAGCUGCUUGUAGCAUGAGACAUCCGCCCUGUGGUCCUUCCUGCAGCUGUGUCCUCACUAAGGGAAGGUGACCGAGCCCAGAGUGGGAGGGGUCGGAGGGCCCAGCUGUGAGUGUGGACCAGGCUGAGGCCUCAUCACCAGCCAGGAGGCUCCCUGGAGACCCUGGGGCCAGAAUGACCUCCCUCUACAACCUUCCCUGGCUCCCCAUUGCUGUGCAGGGGAGUCCAUGCUCCUCACCCAAGGUCCCCAUCAUAACCUCCAUCAGACGCGCCCCCACUCCUCCUGGGCUUCACC